Molecule: long non-coding RNA, 2016 nt
Filed under: Hordeum vulgare
Lineage: Eukaryota; Viridiplantae; Streptophyta; Magnoliopsida; Poales; Poaceae
Description: long non-coding RNA (HVUL_LNC011390)
Source: RNAcentral
GACAAUAUAUAUUAGGACACAUGGCAUGCUCACUACUGGAAUUCCCUAUUUUGUGGAGUGCCAAAUACAAUCGGCAAAUGCGAAAAAAAAACUCAGCAUAAUAUUUGCCGAGUGCUACACUCGAAACCACGACUAUGUUGGACGCCUGUUGGCAAAUUUAUGUCGUCGGUUUUUCAUUUGUACGGGCACCAAUCGGCACCUACAAAAAUCCUUGCCGAGUGCAGAACAUAGGGACUCGGCAAACAAAUGACAUAGAUGGAAGGACAAAUUACGGCCGUUUUACCGUUUUCCUAAUUGGGCAAAAGUAUGCUCCGGUAGGGCUACCCAGAUGGCACCAUGUGUCAUGUUUGCCGAGAACAAUAUUAGGCAAACAGGUCUUAGACACGACACAGCUAGCCUAAAGAAGGCAACUUUGAUUCUCCAUGUUGGUUGAUUGCUAGCUUGAUGCUAAUAUUUGACGUAUUAACAUUACCUGCAUCGGAUGUUUCUGUAGCGUUCGAGGAUGAGAACACGGUGUAUAUGGUGCUGAAGGUGACGUAGGAAUACGCAUCUUGAUGAAAGACAUGGAGAAGAUGAUGUCCAUUGAAGGAAAAUGCAGGGAACUAAAGCAUGAGUAGUUUAGAGUGGUCAAUGUGAAUGCAGAUUUAGUUUAAGGAAGAAGUGGAUUCUGAAUAUAACAAGAGGUCAAUGAUGCAAGAACUAGGAUAAGGCAUAACAUGGUUGCUGGAAGAUAUAUUUGUACAAUAACAGGCACACGCAUGCAGCCGUAAUGUCGAUCAAAUUACGUAAGGUAGCAGCCCAGUGAAUUGUACAAAUAUGGAUGCACGCAGGUAGUGAUAGACACUCUAUCAUGUCAGAUCCAGAAUUAAUGUGUGUUGUACAUUAAGUUUUCCGUUCUUUAAAACGUGUUUUGAUUAGUCCUGAACCAGCCCUUACGUCUCACACAUUUGGAGAAGGUUCAGAAAGAAGAGUUUUUCCUUAAUUCUGCAUUACCAUCAUCGUAUGCAAGAUGACCCAAAUUAAAACUUAUAGCCUUAAUUCCGCAUUACGAUCAUGGUGUGCAAGAUAAGCCAAAUUAGAAAUUACGGCCUUAAUUCUCGGCAAGCCUCAAGGUUCAUAAGGUGAGUCAUCUUAAUAUAUACUGUUUUUUCAUAAAUAUAGGCUCUGUUUCCAAGACCCUUAAUAGUAUCUUUCAAAUACCCAUUCUUGAAUAUCGUGGAAACAUUUUAUACAAGUAAAUGUUUUUCUAGACAUGACUUCAUUUAAGAUAUUGUAGAGAUGAUUUAAAUAUCAUGUUUGGCCUCUUAUUUAGAGGAUGACAUAACUUGGAACUCCUAUUUAGAGCAUGCACUCAAUUAUAUAUAGGUUCACCCUUCUAAAAGUUUUUUGCAAGGAAGGCCACUUUAAUUCCCCGAAUUGUUUACAAUUUUAAUUUUUAAAUGGGUCGCCUUAUGUUUCGAUAAAGGUUUUGUGGUUUGUAGGAUAAUAUAUGGGAGUAUCUGAUGGCCCACAUGUCUCUAUACAUUUCGAGUGGUAUCCUCAAUAAAUAUGUGGUACCAUCUCCCAUCCAUUGUUUCCCACCAUGUAAGACUGAACACUAUGUCCUUCCUACCUAUGUUCCUUUUAUGGUUCACCAUGAUCUUUUUAGAUCAUGAAAAUAUAAAAGGUCGCCAGCUAUAGUUUGGAAUAAAUAUUGCGUAUUACUCAUAAUAAAUAUAAGCAAAAUUUUGUAAGAAAAAAAGCAUACCUAGAUUGUCGCAAGAGUUAACACACAAGACAUAAGCUAUAUGUAACCACACAUGACUGCGACCUACAAAAUAUUAAUUUUCACAAUUUAGAAAUUCAAGCAUGAAAUAUUUCUAUAUAUGGAAUUUAAAUACAUAAUUCCAAUUUACAGUUUGCAUUAUGGAAAUAAAUCAUUGAUAAAAUUACCAAAAUUUCAUAAAUUAAGAAAAAAAGUUGUUUAGAGCAAAUAUUGUAAUAAUAAUAAUAAUUUCAAAAGUUAUGUAAUGACUG